UGGGGAAUAUUGCACAAUGGGCGAAAGCCUGAUGCAGCAACGCCGCGUGAGUGAUGAAGGCCUUCGGGUUGUAAAGCUCUGUCUUCUGGGACGAUAAUGACGGUACCAGAGGAGGAAGCCACGGCUAACUACGUGCCAGCAGCCGCGGUAAUACGUAGGUGGCAAGCGUUGUCCGGAUUUACUGGGCGUAAAGGAUGCGUAGGCGGAUACUUAAGUCAGAUGUGAAAAUCCCGGGCUUAACUUGGGAACUGCAUUUGAAACUGGGUAUCUAGAGUGCGGGAGAGGAGAGUGGAAUGCCGAGUGUAGCGGUGAAAUGCGUAGAGAUUAGGAAGAACACCAGUGGCGAAGGCGACUUUCUGGACCGUAACUGACGCUGAGGCAUGAAAGCGUGGGGAGCAAACA
This 402-nucleotide ribosomal RNA is filed under the name uncultured bacterium. RNAcentral's name for it is "bacterial SSU rRNA". It matches the Rfam family "Bacterial small subunit ribosomal RNA", at positions 355 to 774 of the family's 1533-position model. The record is from RNAcentral.